This 834-nucleotide ribosomal RNA is filed under the name uncultured bacterium. RNAcentral's name for it is "bacterial SSU rRNA". It matches the Rfam family "Bacterial small subunit ribosomal RNA", at positions 27 to 859 of the family's 1533-position model. The record is from RNAcentral.
GAUUGAACGCUGGCGGCAUGCUUUACACAUGCAAGUCGAACGGUAACAGGUCUUCGGAUGCUGACGAGUGGCGAACGGGUGAGUAAUGCAUCGGAACGUGCCCAGUCGUGGGGGAUAACGCAGCGAAAGCUGCGCUAAUACCGCAUACGAUCUAUGGAUGAAAGCGGGGGACCGUAAGGCCUCGCGCGAUUGGAGCGGCCGAUGUCAGAUUAGGUAGUUGGUGGGGUAAAGGCUCACCAAGCCAACGAUCUGUAGCUGGUCUGAGAGGACGACCAGCCACACUGGAACUGAGACACGGUCCAGACUCCUACGGGAGGCAGCAGUGGGGAAUUUUGGACAAUGGGCGCAAGCCUGAUCCAGCAAUGCCGCGUGCAGGAAGAAGGCCUUCGGGUUGUAAACUGCUUUUGUACGGAACGAAACGGUCUGAGUUAAUACCUCGGGCUAAUGACGGUACCGUAAGAAUAAGCACCGGCUAACUACGUGCCAGCAGCCGCGGUAAUACGUAGGGUGCAAGCGUUAAUCGGAAUUACUGGGCGUAAAGCGUGCGCAGGCGGUGAUGUAAGACAGUCGUGAAAUCCCCGGGCUCAACCUGGGAAUUGCGAUUGUGACUGCAUCGCUGGAGUGCGGCAGAGGGGGAUGGAAUUCCGCGUGUAGCAGUGAAAUGCGUAGAUAUGCGGAGGAACACCGAUGGCGAAGGCAAUCCCCUGGGCCUGCACUGACGCUCAUGCACGAAAGCGUGGGGAGCAAACAGGAUUAGAUACCCUGGUAGUCCACGCCCUAAACGAWRUCAACUGGUUGUUGGGUCUCUUCUGACUCAGUAACGAAGCUAACGCG